RNAcentral lists this non-coding RNA (24 nucleotides) under Arabidopsis thaliana (thale cress). Lineage: Eukaryota; Viridiplantae; Streptophyta; Magnoliopsida; Brassicales; Brassicaceae. The record is from RNAcentral.
UGUGGAUGAAGCUGAGUCCUGGUC